Molecule: ribosomal RNA, 1440 nt
Filed under: uncultured organism
Description: 16S ribosomal RNA
Rfam family: Bacterial small subunit ribosomal RNA
Source: RNAcentral
AACGCUGGCGGCGUGCUUAACACAUGCAAGUCGAACGGAAAGGCCCUGCUUUUGUGGGGUGCUCGAGUGGCGAACGGGUGAGUAACACGUGAGUAACCUGCCCUUGACUUUGGGAUAACUUCAGGAAACUGGGGCUAAUACCGGAUAGGAGCUCCUGCUGCAUGGUGGGGGUUGGAAAGUUUCGGCGGUUGGGGAUGGACUCGCGGCUUAUCAGCUUGUUGGUGGGGUAGUGGCUUACCAAGGCUUUGACGGGUAGCCGGCCUGAGAGGGUGACCGGCCACAUUGGGACUGAGAUACGGCCCAGACUCCUACGGGAGGCAGCAGUGGGGAAUAUUGCACAAUGGGCGGAAGCCUGAUGCAGCAACGCCGCGUGCGGGAUGACGGCCUUCGGGUUGUAAACCGCUUUCGCCUGUGACGAAGCGUGAGUGACGGUAAUGGGUAAAGAAGCACCGGCUAACUACGUGCCAGCAGCCGCGGUGAUACGUAGGGUGCGAGCGUUGUCCGGAUUUAUUGGGCGUAAAGGGUUCGUAGGUGGUUGAUCGCGUCGGAAGUGUAAUCUUGGGGCUUAACCCUGAGCGUGCUUUCGAUACGGGUUGACUUGAGGAAGGUAGGGGAGAAUGGAAUUCCUGGUGGAGCGGUGGAAUGCGCAGAUAUCAGGAGGAACACCAGUGGCGAAGGCGGUUCUCUGGGCCUUUCCUGACGCUGAGGAGCGAAAGCGUGGGGAGCGAACAGGCUUAGAUACCCUGGUAGUCCACGCUGUAAACGGUGGGUACUAGGUGUGGGGUCCAUUCCACGGGUUCCGUGCCGUAGCUAACGCUUUAAGUACCCCGCCUGGGGAGUACGGCCGCAAGGCUAAAACUCAAAGGAAUUGACGGGGCCCCGCACAAGCGGCGGAGCAUGCGGAUUAAUUCGAUGCAACGCGUAGAACCUUACCUGGGUUUGACAUGGAUCGGGAGUGCUCAGAGAUGGGUGUGCCUCUUUUGGGGUCGGUUCACAGGUGGUGCAUGGCUGUCGUCAGCUCGUGUCGUGAGAUGUUGGGUUAAGUCCCGCAACGAGCGCAACCCUUGUUCACUGUUGCCAGCACGUUAUGGUGGGGACUCAGUGGAGACCGCCGGGGUCAACUCGGAGGAAGGUGGGGAUGACGUCAAGUCAUCAUGCCCCUUAUGUCCAGGGCUUCACGCAUGCUACAAUGGCUGGUACAGAGAGUGGCGAGCCUGUGAGGGUGAGCGAAUCUCGGAAAGCCGGUCUCAGUUCGGAUUGGGGUCUGCAACUCGACCUCAUGAAGUCGGAGUCGCUAGUAAUCGCAGAUCAGCAACGCUGCGGUGAAUACGUUCCCGGGGCUUGUACACACCGCCCGUCAAGUCAUGAAAGUUGGUAACACCCGAAGCCGGUGGCCUAACCGUUGUGGGGGAGCCGUCGAAGGUGGGACUGGUGAUUAGG